UCUUUUUGGAGAGUUUGAUCCUGGCUCAGGAUAAACGCUGGCGGCGUGCAUGAGACAUGCAAGUCGAACGGACGAUCAGGGCUUGCUUUGAUCGUUAGUGGCGGACGGCUGAGUAACGCGUAGGUGACCUGUCCCGAAGUGGGGAAUAACUGCCCGAAAGGGUGGCUAAUACCGCAUGUGGUGGUGCGAUCAAUCGCAUCAGUAAAGCCGCAAGGCGCUUCGGGAGGGGCCUGCGUCCGAUUAGCUCGUUGGUGGGGUAACGGCUCACCAAGGCGACGAUCGGUAGGUGGUCUGAGAGGACGAUCACCCAGACUG
Molecule: ribosomal RNA, 315 nt
Filed under: Chloroflexota bacterium
Lineage: Bacteria; Bacillati; Chloroflexota
Description: bacterial SSU rRNA
Rfam family: Bacterial small subunit ribosomal RNA
Source: RNAcentral